GGGGUUGUGGCUCAAAGGUAGAGCACUCACCUACUAAAUGUGAGGCCCUGGGUUCGAUCCUCAACACCA
Molecule: transfer RNA, 69 nt
Filed under: Urocitellus parryii (Arctic ground squirrel)
Lineage: Eukaryota; Metazoa; Chordata; Mammalia; Rodentia; Sciuridae
Also listed under: 1 other name
Description: Spermophilus parryii (Arctic ground squirrel) tRNA
Rfam family: tRNA
About the family: Transfer RNA (tRNA) molecules are approximately 80 nucleotides in length. Their secondary structure includes four short double-helical elements and three loops (D, anti-codon, and T loops).
Source: Rfam by way of RNAcentral